Molecule: ribosomal RNA, 427 nt
Filed under: Acanthamoeba sp. Had_UCI2
Lineage: Eukaryota; Discosea; Longamoebia; Acanthamoebidae
Description: SSU rRNA
Rfam family: Eukaryotic small subunit ribosomal RNA
Source: RNAcentral
CCGUGAAAAAAUUAGAGUGUUCAAAGCAGGCAGAUCCAAUUUUCUGCCACCGAAUACAUUAGCAUGGGAUAAUGGAAUAGGACCCUGUCCUCCUAUUUUCAGUUGGUUUUGGCAGCGCGAGGACUAGGGUAAUGAUUAAUAGGGAUAGUUGGGGGCAUUAAUAUUUAAUUGUCAGAGGUGAAAUUCUUGGAUUUAUGAAAGAUUAACUUCUGCGAAAGCAUCUGCCAAGGAUGUUUUCAUUAAUCAAGAACGAAAGUUAGGGGAUCGAAGACGAUCAGAUACCGUCGUAGUCUUAACCAUAAACGAUGCCGACCAGCGAUUAGGAGACGUUGAAUACAAAACACCACCAUCGGUGCGGUCGUCCUUGGCGUCGGUCUUCAAAAGCCGGCGCGGGGGUGGCUUAGCCCGGUGGCACCGGUGAAUGACU